RNAcentral lists this long non-coding RNA (955 nucleotides) under Linum usitatissimum (flax). RNAcentral's name for it is "long non-coding RNA (LUSI_LNC006622)". Lineage: Eukaryota; Viridiplantae; Streptophyta; Magnoliopsida; Malpighiales; Linaceae. The record is from RNAcentral.
UAAAUUUCAUCAAUCUCUUUCACAGACAAUUUUGUUUGCAUAAUGAGUUCACAUAGUAGGGAAUCUGAUGAGAGGCAAUGAGAGUAUGAGUGCCAACUUGAAUGUGAACGUCAAGAAAUAUUCAUAAUGAAUGCUGACCACAUUGAACAACAACAAGCAACACCACCUGACCAUCAUUCGUUAUCAUGACGGUCAAUGAUGCGUAACAAGGAGGAAGGUCAUGAAUGAUUAAUGUGAGAUUAUUUCUACAGCUACCGUGGAAGAUUCUGGAGUUCCUAUUUUCUUCUUCUUUUGUUUAUCAUGACCUCCAGGGCGGUUGAUAAUAGAAGGAGGGUUACUUGCUUGAACCUCAGGAUAUCACUCUCUCUGAAUGGCAUGGUGGAAUGAGGGGUCUCCAUUGGAGGAAUUGACGGUAUGGGAACAUAAAACUCUUGCAAAUACUUUGAACAUGUUCCAAGUAUUUCCCAACAAUGAUCAUACUUGAACGCCUUUUCUUUGUUGUCCGCUUGAAAAAUUGUUCUCGCUUGACGAUCCUAUAUUCAAUUGAUUCAAUUACACAAGUUAGAGAUGAUAUUCAUGAAUAAAAGUAAUUAUAAAACUUAACAUAAUUAAAUACUCAAAGUAUACUAACCACGUCACUUAUAUUUGAACCGCUUGUGGGUAUCGCAUUUGCCCUUCUCAAUGAUCUGUUUUAAAGAUUGCAACUGGUGUUGAUAGUUAUCCACCGACAUUGCAAUCCCACAGCCAUACGCUGCUUUACAAAUUGCGUUGUCUAAAAAAUGUGCGAACUCGAUGAUCGUUUGUUCGAUUCCUAUGCUCCCAUCUUCCGAAAUUUCAGCCCAAGUUUUGCAUAAAGCUUGAUCUUAUUGAAUGCUCCAAUUCGGACCUCGGGCACUCGUAGACAUUGAUUAGAGUUAGGAGAAUUUGAAGACAAUAGAAAAUAAAGAGAAGUGGU